This 71-nucleotide transfer RNA is filed under the name Manouria impressa. RNAcentral's name for it is "tRNA-Leu". It matches the Rfam family "tRNA". From Rfam's summary of the family: Transfer RNA (tRNA) molecules are approximately 80 nucleotides in length. Lineage: Eukaryota; Metazoa; Chordata; Testudines; Testudinidae. The record is from RNAcentral.
ACUUUUAAAGGAUAGAAGUAAUCCACUGGUUUUAGGAACCAGCCACCUUGGUUCAACUCCAAGUAAAAGCA